CAGCUAACCCCAAUGGCCUACCAUUUUCUUUAACAACAAUGGGGCCACUUAUUUAUCUGUUUACGUUCACUCCCGGACGAAGCGCAAAGACUUUGAAACCACUUUUGUCCGAAAUCAUGUUACAAAUGGUCCCUUUGUUGUCUCUUACAUAUCUUUUAGUGAUCAUCUGGCUGACACCCUCACCAAGCCGCUAUCUACUUCUAAAUUUGGUUACCUACUUUUCAGGACCGGAAUGAAUGUGAGCUCAAUCUUGCAAAGGCCUGUCAAGGAUAAAUCACUAUCCUUGGCUGAAGAUUCUAGACCCAUACUGAUACGAGGAUUAUGAUCACAUCCGAAAGAUAAAAUAGAAUCCAGAGAAUAAAGGUUGAGAUUUUGUAAUCUGGAUUUUUACAAUUGUAAUUUUAUCAUUUCGUUUGUACCAAUCUUACUAUUUGUUGAGCAAUAAAUACAUGUAAUCUGGAUGAAUAAAAUACAACAUAAAAAUGUAUAAACAAGUUCUUUCCAUAGAAACAAGCCCGUUUCAAAAAUGAUACUGAUAUCUAGUCUUUGCCUUGUGAAAUCCCUAAUGUUAAUGGCUAGUAUUUCAUUGUAAAUUACUUUAAUUCCUUUGAUUUGAUGGUAUAUUGCAUUGUUUAGGGCCUCCUAAGAUAUUUCUGAGAACAGAGAACUAAUUGAAUUUCUAUGUUGUUCAACAUAAUGCUAAAAGCUUCUCAGAGUAACUUAAUAUUUUAAACAAGGUAAUUUAGCAUGGUAUCAGAGCAUAGCAUGUUGAGGUUUGAAGUUUGAAUCUUGCCACCGCCAAUUUUGAGAAUUGCUUACAUGUGUUAUACAAGUCUAUGUAAGAAAAGAAGCAGAUAGAGAGUUACAAGAAUCUCUAUCUUUCAAAAAAUGAAAGACCAAAAGGAGCGCUCACUUUGGAAAAUACUCUUUUCAGGGCUUAAUGUUGAAUAAAUUUGGGCUUAAACCAUCUUUUACUGGGUUAAAAUUAUCUUGGUUUUGGCUGCUAGCAAAAAACUGAUGGCUAGAUCACUUCCAGGUUUAUUCUAUAAUAGAUGUUUCAAAAACUGUAUAUGAUCAUGCGCAUGUAGCAUAAUGCUAAAAAAACGCAACAGAUAAAAGGAUGAAUGAGAUUUACAAGAAGUUACUAGGAAAAAAUAAAGUGAAGAGGAACGAGAAAAGAAGUUGAAAAAGAUAAUUGAGCAUUUUCGAUUUUGAUUGAAGUUUUAGCUUAUCUUCUAUACUGGUAUGGUUACAUAUUUUCAACAAAGUUUAAACCGGUUAAUGAAGUAUCAAGAAUGAAAGUUGGACUACAAACAAGAGACUGAAGAUAUUAACUACGUUGUACAUUAAUUCUUUGAAUUCAUGUUGAUUCAUGUUGAAAUGUUAUGUUAGGUGCACUUGCAUUGGACUGUUCAAAGAUCGUAAUGAACAAAUCAACUUCUUCCAUCCCCUAUUUGGCUGAUAAUAGCAAUGAUCAAGGUGAGAUUAUCUAUUCUUUACCUGUGUGCCUGCUUUUUGCAAAUUUUCUUGUUAAGGUCACAUUUUUAGUCAAUGAUACAGAUGUCGUGCUUGUUCAUGUAUUCCCU
This 1586-nucleotide long non-coding RNA is filed under the name Olea europaea (common olive). RNAcentral's name for it is "long non-coding RNA (OEUR_LNC009150)". Lineage: Eukaryota; Viridiplantae; Streptophyta; Magnoliopsida; Lamiales; Oleaceae. The record is from RNAcentral.